GAAAGAACCAUUUAAAUGUCUGGCCUGGAAGUCCUGGGAGAAGGGACCAGCUCGCUGUGCUGGAGGCACCCAGGCAGGUCAGAAUGAAUCAGAAUGAAUCCCUCCUUGGGUACCUGCAGUCCAGUGUUUGCCAGAGGAAGGGGUGUGAGCAGGCCAGGGAUGUCCUCCUGCAUGUGGACAGGCAGGCCGUGUGCAGGUGCUGUUCAGGAUGUCAGCACGGGGCCUCUCAAGGAGACGCGUCUUUGCCACCCCCCUCCCAGGGCCCACCAGGAAGACAAAGAAAUGACAUGUAUGAGCACCUGCUGUCCACAGGCCAAUUCUCAGCCGGCAAAGAGUCCUCAGCCCGCGAGGAUGCGACAGGCCUGGACCAAACGUCAGGCGAGGUCUGCAUGGCCCGGCGCUUCAGAAACGCCGCGGGUUUCAAUCCUAAGGGGCGCCCGCCCCCGCCGCUCCGUGGAGCCAUAGUCCCGAGUAGCUUCGUGGUCUCAGAGAAGCCAUCGGGGCUGGCGGCCGGUGUCUGCUUUUCUGCACAUCAAGGAGACGAUCAGACCCUUCCGGAAAGUGGCCGGUUUUGUCCAGGGGCGUGUAAGGCUGCCUGGGAUCUGUCCUCCGUCCUUCACUCUCCCAUUAACCCAGUGUGGGGGGGGGACGGGGCCCCUUCCCUGACUUUUUUUUUUCACUUUAGCCUCCUCUUCUGCAUUGUUUUGUUUUGUCUUUUUUUUUUUUUUAAGCCUCUGUGCCCGGCUCCCAUUAUGGAAAGUGCUGUUUAUGUCCAGGGCCCCUUAAAAAGGCAGCUAACGGCUCCCUGGCUGCGGUCCUCCUGCUUGUUUCCCUGGCAACCGGAGGCAGGGAAAACAGAACCUGUCAGAUGGANGGAGGGGGGAGGGGGGAGCGGGAGGGGACCUCGGGGCCCACCCUGCCGCCACCCAGGCUGGCGCCCUGGCCCAGGCCAGCUAGUGGGCAGAGAGGCAGGCUGCUUAAGGGAGGGAGCUGCCCGCCCCAGCAGGGACCCUGGAGCAGUGGGGAGGAGCGGGUCCCCCCCAACAGGAUUAGCAGGAUGGUGCUGGAGCUGCCACCCCCUGCCCUGCCCAGCUGAUUAUCACAUUGUUUCAGAGGGAUCAGUAAAGCGCGUGAUACAAAAUCCUGGGUGUUUAUCUCAUGAGGACGGCACCCAACUUCCACAGAAGUUUGAGUUCCUCUCCAAGAGGCAUUUUUUCGAGGCCGAGUCGUAGGUACUUAGCUGGCUUUGACCUGCUGCUGUGGAGUCACCCCUGUGCCCUGGGCCGUCCAGACAGCCAGCGAGAGGUCAGCAGGAGGCCGGUGGGCAGCGCGAUGCUGCUCUGGCCCAGGACGUCGUUGGCGGAUACGGCCUCUGCCUCCAGGAUUUAUCGGGGGCUUGCCUACGCCCUUCUCUCAUCUGGAGAUCAGAGCCAGCAUCUGGGAGACACACGGUGCCCCCAGGGUGGUCUCCCUUGACCUCCACGUUGAAUCUGACAUGGAGCCUGACCAGUUACAUCUUUUAAAUAUUUCUUGGAUCUCCGCUUCUUUUCCGUUCCUAACACCAGGAUCCAAGUUCAGCCACCGAACUUUGUCCCUUUGGUGUUAAUUCAACUCCAAGCCCUGGCUGGCAGGACAGUUGAUGGAGAAUCUGAAUCUGGCCUCAUCUGCCCCAGCUCAGAGCCCUUUGAGGAUGCUCCAUUGUCUCCAGGGAAAAGCUGGGUUGCUGGGUGUGGCAUUCAAGGUCCCCCCGCCUGUCUGUCCUAACCCCAUCAACCCUUCCAGCUUUGUCUCCUGUUACUCCCUGCCUUUUAUGGGUCCACGGAAGCCAAACUGCCCUGGGGCCUCUGGCUGCCCACCGCAUACUUCCCAUUGUUAAAUUUGCCCCGUGCCUCAGAGCCUUGCUUGGCCCGGAAUGUCCUUCCCACCUCUACUAUCUUGUGUACCUGUAAUUUGUCCUUUCAGACAGCCGAGGCAUCAUCGGCUCCUCCAUCUCCUCCGUGUGCAUUUCCAAAUCCUCAGGUUGGGCUUGAUGCCCCCAGGUCGCUCAUGGGCAUCCUGUUGCUUGCCCAUGUGUGUGGAACAACCAGUUAAUAGGCCUACUGAGGGCUGGCAUGCCCAUCUCUGAGCCCUCAGCACCCACAGAGUCUGGCAAACAGGGAUGCUCCGGGCAAAAGUCUGCCAGGCAAAUCCCUGAGAGAGGGGAGAGCAGCCUGCAGGCCCCUGGCUGUCCCU
This 2232-nucleotide long non-coding RNA is filed under the name Vulpes vulpes (red fox). Its description in RNAcentral is "lncRNA (ENSVVUG00000015257.1)". The record is from RNAcentral. Lineage: Eukaryota; Metazoa; Chordata; Mammalia; Carnivora; Canidae.